AGUGAACGCUGGCGGUAGGCCUAACACAUGCAAGUCGAACGGCAGCACAGUAAGAGCUUGCUCUUACGGGUGGCGAGUGGCGGACGGGUGAGGAAUACAUCGGAAUCUACUUUUUCGUGGGGGAUAACGUAGGUAAACUUACGCUAAUACCGCAUACGACCUACGGGUGAAAGCAUGGGAUCUUCGGACCUUGCGCGAUUGAAUGAGCCGAUGUCGGAUUAGCUAGUUGGGGGUAAGGCCCACCAAGGGUACGAUCCGUAGCUGGUCUGAGAGGAUGAUCAGCCAAAAGAGAAAGUGAAAAACGGCCAGGAGACUGAGGGAAGGAACAGUGGGGAAAAAUUGGAAAAUGGGGGGAAGCUUGAACAAGCCAUACGAGGGGGUGAAGAAGGCCUUCGGGUUGUAAAGACCUUUUGUUGGGAAAGAAAAGCAGCAGGUUAAUACCCCGCUGUUCUGACGGUACCCAAAGAAUAAGCACCGGCUAACUUCGUG
RNAcentral lists this ribosomal RNA (489 nucleotides) under uncultured bacterium. Its description in RNAcentral is "partial 16S ribosomal RNA". It matches the Rfam family "Bacterial small subunit ribosomal RNA", at positions 29 to 507 of the family's 1533-position model. The record is from RNAcentral.